GGCCUCGUGGUCUAGUGGUAUGAUUCUCGCUUCGGGUGCGAGAGGUCCGGGUCGAUUCCCGGUGAGGCCC
This 70-nucleotide transfer RNA is filed under the name Phytophthora infestans (potato late blight agent). Its description in RNAcentral is "tRNA-Pro". It matches the Rfam family "tRNA". From Rfam's summary of the family: Transfer RNA (tRNA) molecules are approximately 80 nucleotides in length. Their secondary structure includes four short double-helical elements and three loops (D, anti-codon, and T loops). Lineage: Eukaryota; Oomycota; Peronosporomycetes; Peronosporales; Peronosporaceae. The record is from RNAcentral.